ACUUGCGUGUACUUUUCUGCCAGUAUGUUAUAUAUUUGAGUGAAACAUUUAUUUAAAAAUAAUUAGAUUUUUUUUCCCCUCUGGGGUUUACUUAGGUUGGAUUCAGAUGCCGAGGACACAGUACUUCCUCAGAAAGAAGACAGAAUUUGCAAAAGAGACCAGAUAAUAAGCAUUUAAGCUCUAGUCAAUCCCAUAGAAGCGAUCCAAAUUCUGAGUCUUUAUAUUUUGAGGAUGAAGAUGGGUUUCAAGAACUAAAUGAGAAUGGAAAUGCUAAGGAUGAGAAUAUUCAACAAAAACUUUCUUCUAAAGUAUUGGAUGAUUUACCUGAAAACUCACCAAUCAAUAUAGUUCAGACUCCAAUUCCUAUUACCACCUCAGUUCCCAAACGUGCAAAAAGUCAGAAGAAGAAA
This 410-nucleotide long non-coding RNA is filed under the name Homo sapiens (human). RNAcentral describes it as "non-protein coding lnc-SHC4-3:1". Lineage: Eukaryota; Metazoa; Chordata; Mammalia; Primates; Hominidae. The record is from RNAcentral.